GAGCUGUUUAAUCUCAGACACUCUAGCCUUAGAGUAACUGUUGAGAGGGCAUUUGGAGCUCUGAAGAAUAGGUUUAAGAUCCUGGAUCAGAAGCCAUUUCACCCAUACUCCACUCAGAUUAAGCUUGUUCUUGCUUGUUGCAUUCUGCAUAACUGGAUCCUCCAGUGGGGCUUUGAUGAACACGUGCCUGAGGAGGAAGAGGUCGAGCCUGACGAUGUUGUUAGCUCCGGCCAUGGUGUGGAGGCAUUUGACAAUGACGCUUGGAAGAAUAAAAGGUUGGAGUGGGCAGAGGCAAUGUGGCUUAAUAGUGGUCAGUGCAGGAUUUGA
Molecule: ribosomal RNA, 327 nt
Filed under: Triticum aestivum (bread wheat)
Lineage: Eukaryota; Viridiplantae; Streptophyta; Magnoliopsida; Poales; Poaceae
Description: partial small subunit ribosomal RNA
Source: RNAcentral